This 588-nucleotide small RNA is filed under the name Pongo abelii (Sumatran orangutan). Its description in RNAcentral is "retained intron". Lineage: Eukaryota; Metazoa; Chordata; Mammalia; Primates; Hominidae. The record is from RNAcentral.
CUGUUCCUGGCCUUACCCGCAGAUGCAAACCCUCCCUCCCAGCAGAGGCCGAGGGGGCCGCACAGGAGCUGGAGAACCAGAUGAAAGAGCGCCAAGGCCUCUUCUUUGACAUGGAGGCCUAUUUGCCGAAGAAGAACGGAUUGUACCUGAGCCUGGUUCUGGGGAACGUCAACGUCACGCUCCUGAGCAAGCAGGCUAAGUUUGCCUACAAGGACGAGUAUGAGAAGUUCAAGCUCUACCUCACCAUCAUCCUCAUCCUCAUCUCCUUCACUUGCCGCUUCCUGCUCAACUCCAGGUGGGCGUCCCACCCCGGCCGAGGACCCACCCCAUCCCCAGUCACUGCAGUACCAACCCUCGGUCCCCUCCCUCCAUAGGGUGACAGACGCUGCCUUCAACUUCCUGCUGGUCUGGUACUACUGCACCCUGACCAUCCGGGAGAGCAUCCUCAUCAACAACGGCUCCCGGAUCAAAGGCUGGUGGGUGUUCCAUCACUAUGUGUCUACCUUCCUGUCGGGAGUCAUGCUGACGUGGCCCGAUGGUCUCAUGUACCAGAAAUUCCGGAACCAAUUCCUCUCCUUUUCCAUGUAC